This 507-nucleotide ribosomal RNA is filed under the name uncultured crenarchaeote. Its description in RNAcentral is "bacterial SSU rRNA". It matches the Rfam family "Archaeal small subunit ribosomal RNA", at positions 339 to 847 of the family's 1478-position model. The record is from RNAcentral. Lineage: Archaea; Thermoproteati; Thermoproteota.
UCGCGAAACCUUUGCAAUACACGCAAGUGUGACAGGGUCAUCCCGAGUGCCGACCGCUGAGGUUGGCUUUUACCCAGUCUAGAAAGCUGGGGGAAUAAGGAGAGGGCAAGUCUGGUGUCAGCCGCCGCGGUAAUACCAGCUCUCCGAGUGGUGUGGACGUUUAUUGGGCCUAAAGCAUCCGUAGCUGGCUGAACAAGUCCCCUGUUAAACCCACCGAUUUAAUCGUUGGCUUGCGGGGGAUACUGCUCGGCUAGGGGACGAGAGAGGCAGACGGUAUUCCCGGGGUAGGGGUGAAAUCCUAUAAUCCCGAGAAGACCACCAGUGGCGAAGGCUGUCUGCUAGAACGCGCCCGACGGUGAGGGAUGAAAGCUGGGGGAGCGGAACCGGAUUAGAUACCCGGGUAGUCCCAGCUGUAAACGAUGCAGACUAGGUGUUUGGACGGCCACGUGCCGUUCUAGUGCCGCAGGGAAGCUGUUAAGUCUGCCGCCUGGGGAGUACGAUCGCAAG